RNAcentral lists this ribosomal RNA (903 nucleotides) under Triticum aestivum (bread wheat). Its description in RNAcentral is "partial small subunit ribosomal RNA". The record is from RNAcentral. Lineage: Eukaryota; Viridiplantae; Streptophyta; Magnoliopsida; Poales; Poaceae.
AUGGCGGGUGUGAGCUCCCUGAAGCGUGGUCAUAUUUGGCGAGUGGGAAACGGGCAGAAUAUUGACAUUUGGGAGGACGCAUGGAUUCCAAAUUGUGCAAAACGUAAAAUUGUUACCCCUAAGGGAGACCAGUUGUUACGGAAGGUAGCAGAUUUGAUUGAUCCAAUCCUAAAUAGUUGGGAUGAAGAUCUUCUCACACAGACUCUAUGGCCUAUUGAUGUUCAGCGAGUGCUUACGAUCCCGAUAUCGCAACAUGAUAUGCCAGAUUUCAUAGCUUGGAAUUUCACAAAAAAUGGGACUUUUUCAGUUCGGUCUUCUUAUUUUGUGGAAUGGGACCACCAAUAUGGGAACAAGUUACGACAUACCAAUGGGAUGGGACGUACCACGGUCAAUCCUAUUUGGGCGAGGAUUUGGAAGCUUGCUUGUCCAGCAAAGGUUAAAAUAUUUAUUUGGCGUACACUUCACAACACUAUUCCGUGUCGUGUUAACUUAGCUAAUAGACAUGUGAAAGUCUCGCCUAAGUGUCCUGCCUGCUCAUCUGGGCCAAAAGACACAAAACACUUGUUGUUUCUAUGUGACAGAGCAAAAGAAGUCUGGAGAAGACUAGGGAUGGACGAUAUUAUCGACAGAGCUUGUAAAAUAGACUAUGCGGGUGAGGCAAUCUUGGAAUAUUUAUUUUCAUUAUCAGAUCAGGAACUAUGUAUUAUGGGCACUCGUAAUGUGCGUGACAUGAUUGCCAUAUCAGCAUAUCCAUGGGGAUACGCGCUCUCGCUGCCAAUUUUGUUAAUGCCUCCUCGCCGAAGGCUUCCAUUAAAAGAGGAGGAUGGUCUAAUUCCCCGACGGGAUUUGUUAAACUUAAUGUUGAUGCUUCUUUUGAUCACGACCUUCUCAGGGGUACGAUAG